RNAcentral lists this ribosomal RNA (235 nucleotides) under uncultured bacterium. Its description in RNAcentral is "partial 16S ribosomal RNA". It matches the Rfam family "Bacterial small subunit ribosomal RNA", at positions 99 to 334 of the family's 1533-position model. The record is from RNAcentral.
CGAACGGGUGAGUAAAACGUGAGCAACCUACCUUACACAGGGGGAUAGCCGUUGGAAACGACGACUAAUACCGCAUGAGACCACAGAAUCGCAUGAUAUAGGGGUCAAAGAUUUAUCGGUGUAAGAAGGGCUCGCGUCUGAUUAGCUAGUUGGAAGGGUAAAGGCCUACCAAGGCGACGAUCAGUAGCCGGUCUGAGAGGAUGAACGGCCACAUUGGAACUGAGACACAGUCCAA